This 384-nucleotide ribosomal RNA is filed under the name marine copepod environmental sample. Its description in RNAcentral is "SSU rRNA". It matches the Rfam family "Eukaryotic small subunit ribosomal RNA", at positions 587 to 972 of the family's 1831-position model. The record is from RNAcentral. Lineage: Eukaryota; Metazoa; Arthropoda; Copepoda.
AGCUCCAAUAGCGUAUAUUAAAGUUGUUGCGGUUAAAAAGCUCGUAGUUGGAUCUCGGCAGCCAGGGGGCGGUUCGCUCCAAAGCGUGACUGCCCCAUUUGGCUGUGUGAUUGGCGGAGGUUCCGGGGUGCUCUUCGUUGAGUGUCCCGGUGCGCCGUCAGGUUUACUUUGAAAAAAUUAGAGUGCUCAAAGCAGGCUUUUCAGGCUUGAAUAUUCGUGCAUGGAAUAAUGGAAAAGAACCUGGUCCCUAUUUGGUUGGUUUUCGGGAAUGGAGUAAAGGAUAAAUAGGGACAUUGGGGGCAUUAGCAUUCAAACGACAGAGGUGAAAUUCUUGGACCGUUUGAAGACUAACUACUGCGAAAGCAUUUGCCAAGAGUGUUUUCA